RNAcentral lists this ribosomal RNA (253 nucleotides) under uncultured bacterium. Its description in RNAcentral is "partial 16S ribosomal RNA". It matches the Rfam family "Bacterial small subunit ribosomal RNA", at positions 524 to 776 of the family's 1533-position model. The record is from RNAcentral.
UACGGAGGGUGCAAGCGUUGUCCGGAAUCACUGGGCGUAAAGGGCGCGUAGGCGGCUCGGUAAGUCGGGGGUGAAAUCCUGCGGCUUAACCGCAGGGCUGCCUUCUAAACUGGCGAGCUUGAGCACGGUAGAGGCAGAUGGAAUUCCCGGUGUAGCGGUGGAAUGCGUAGAGAUCGGGAAGAACAUCAGUGGCGAAGGCGGUCUGCUGGGCCGUUGCUGACGCUGAGGCGCGACAGCGUGGGGAGCAAACAGG